Molecule: ribosomal RNA, 442 nt
Filed under: uncultured bacterium
Lineage: Bacteria
Description: bacterial SSU rRNA
Rfam family: Bacterial small subunit ribosomal RNA
Source: RNAcentral
AUUGCACAAUGGGCGCAAGCCUGAUGCAGCCAUGCCGCGUGUAUGAGAAGGCUUCGGGUUGUAAAGUACUUUCAGCAGUGAGGAAGGUGGGAUAUGUUAAUAGCAUAUUCAUUUGACGUUAGCUGCAGAAGAAAGCACCGGCUAACUCCGUGCCAGCAGCCGCGGUAAGUACGGAGGGUGCGAGCGUUAAUCGGAAUUACUGGGCGUAAAGCGCAUGCAGGUGGUUUGUUAAGUCAGAUGUGAAAGCCCGGGGCGUCAACCUCGGAAUUGCAUUUGAAACUGGCAAACUAGAGUACUGUAGAGGGGGGUAGGAAUUUCAGGUGUAGCGGUGAAAUGCGUAGAGAUCUGAAGGAAUACCGGUGGCGAAGGCGGCCCCCUCGGACAGAUACUGACACUCAGAUGCGAAAGCGUGGGGAGCAAACAGGAUUAGAUACCCUGGUAG